UUGUUAAGCAGAGCAUCCCCACUACAUGAUAGUAUGGUUUGGGGGAUUGUGCCCUAGGAGAGGUGUCCCACCUGAUGUUUGAGGAAUUUAACCCAGAUCCUCCUGCCUGCUCUCAUCCUCUUCUCCCUCAUUGCUUUACAGAGCCCCUAUGUGGUUGGCAGCACUGGUGAGCUGGGCAGAGCUGCUGGCCAUCUUCGUCUUAGGCACACUGCUGCUUCUCACAGAAGCCCUCCUGCGAGCCAUGGUGGUCAUCGGGCUUCUGCUCUACAUGCUCGUCGCUGACUGACGGUGAAGAGGGGAGGGCCCCUCUUUUUCCUCCUUAUUCCCAGAGCUCUUCAAGAAGGAGGUAAGAGGAGAAUCACACCGACCUCAAGAGCAGACGGAGAGAAGCGUGAGCAGUAGUCCAAGGAGGAGGGGAGAUGAAGUUCCCAAUUCUCACUGCGUUUGCCCUGUUCUACGUGGCCCACUGCGAGGAAGGCGCCAGGCUCCUGGCCUCCAAAUCUCUGUUAAACAGAUAUGCAGUGGAGGGCAAGGACUUGACUUUGCAGUACAACAUCUACAAUGUUGGCUCCAGUGCUGCUUUAGAUGUGGAGCUGUCGGAUGAUUCUUUCCCUCCAGAAGAUUUUGGCAUUGUCUCUGGGAUGCUCAACGUCAAGUGGGACAGGAUUGCUCCAGCGAGUAACGUGUCCCACACUGUGGUUCUGCGGCCUCUCAAAGCUGGUUACUUCAACUUCACCUCUGCUACCAUCACCUACCUGGCACAGGAGGGCGGACAGGUCGUGGUUGGUUUCACCAGCGCGCCUGGGCAGGGAGGAAUCUUGGCUCAGCGUGAGUUUGACAGGAGGUUCUCCCCUCAUUUUCUGGACUGGGCAGCUUUUGGCGUGAUGACCUUGCCCUCCAUCGGGAUCCCCCUGCUGCUGUGGUACUCGAGCAAGAGGAAGUAUGACACCCCCAAGACCAAAAAGAACUGAACAAAGUCAAAUGCCGCCAGCACCCCAGAGCUCGGGAAAGAACAAACGUUAACCCGGCCAGAACCGCAGCUGAGGAGGGGAGCAAUAGAGCGACUUGGUGGGCACCCAGCAUCCAGCCAGGGUCAACCCCCCACACCAGUUCAGCUUUUACCCCUGUGACGCCACCUUCCAGGACCUCAACUAUAUGGUAAGACCCAUUAGGAGAAGACUGGAACUCUUGCAAAUACUCGCUUUAGAAAAACGGCGAGUUAUUCUCAGGUUGUGCAAAUUGAGAGAGAUCAGUGUCCCCUUCCACAAACGCUUUCCACAAACGCUCGCAGAAUUUCUGUAGGGGGUUGUAACACAGUUAAGAAGAUUGGUGGGGGUGAAAUGUGAAUAGAAACGCGUGCGAGAGAGAGACUGAGAUAACAACACAGCAAGGGUAAGUUUCCUUCGCUCUCUCAUUUCCUUAUUAGCGCUAAAUAUCUGUAACACAAUCCAUCAUGGCACUCCCUUUGGCAGCUGCCCGUUGCUAACUAAACACAUAUUCGCAUCAGAUAAAUGCCCUUCAGUGCUGCCUGUAAGCUUCCACAGGGAUCGCGUACUCUGUCUCCCCUUCCAGUAUCCACCUGCCUCCUGCACAGACAGCAAAACCUGAAAUCAAACACAUGGCUUGCUCCCAAGGACCAUCGGCAGCGACUAAUGGUGGUAACACACUUCUCAUUAAGGAACGUAACUCUAUUAUCAAAAGUUAUUUAUCUGAUUGUUAAUCAGAUUAAUAACAGAAGCACUCCUAAAUUGGCUUGGAAACCUGGUUUGUAUCACGUUUUGUCCCGGAGCAAGGAGAGCGCCAGCGAUGCUCAUUUCUGUAAUGGAGACGUCUUUCUGCUGCCAAUUUCAGUGCAGAACAGAGGACAGACAUGAGGCAGCCAGCACUUACGGUCACUGUGAAACUUUUCUGGACAGGAAUUAAGUGACCGAAGCAGAAAGACUCUCAUUAUUCAUCCUCCGAAGCAUCCAGUAUCGUCUAAAAACGAAUUCUUGAAUCCAAACACCCUCCAACAAAAAUAGUUCGGCAAGCAGCACAAAAGUGGCAGGGAGGCAAUCGUGACACAAGCUUUCCAAGCUCCGAGGCCCAUUCUCUGUCGUUAAUCUUUAGUUUAGUUAAUUAUGCUGAUUUAGAGAGCAGCCCAUCAAACGGAGAAAAGCCAACUUCAACUUUCAAAUCAAUGCACUUGAAAAGAUGCAGUCUGCUUUUUGCCUUAAGAUUUAGAUGCCCACUGCCAACAUAACGGAUGCAAUUAUACUUUAAAGUAUGUUCCUGAUAAAAAAAAAAAAAACAUGAGUUUUACAAUCAAGCUUUCUUUUUCUUAUUACCUAAAAGCCUAGCUCCUACAACAUAGCGCAAUUAGGAAGACCCGAUGCAGCUCGCAUACGAACAUCGUUGUUCUCGUUGAGGAAUUCUGUCAUGAUUCCCAUUUUAUUAAAAGAGAAUACAGAUGUCCUCAGAGAGCCCAAGUAACUACUCUGAGAAGUUAAAGCAUUCAGAGAAGCCCAGAAUUGGACACAAAAAUUUCCUGUUUGCCUUUCCAGUCUCUUUUACUCACAGUUUCUUUUACUACAAAUCAGGUUGGUCAUAGUUGGGAAGAGGCCACAUAUCGGGAGAUAAGAUGUAGCUGGAACUCUAUUUAGGGCACUCUCAUGGACGAAGACUGCUCUGUCCCAACUACACUGCUCUCACGGUGGCUGUCACAGAAUCGCAAGGGUUGGAAGGG
Molecule: RNA transcript, 2725 nt
Organism: Egretta garzetta (little egret)
Lineage: Eukaryota; Metazoa; Chordata; Aves; Pelecaniformes; Ardeidae
Gene: SSR2
Gene name: signal sequence receptor subunit 2
Exons: 7
Source: RefSeq, a predicted model, not a curated record